This 812-nucleotide long non-coding RNA is filed under the name Homo sapiens (human). RNAcentral's name for it is "non-protein coding lnc-FAM102B-3:3". The record is from RNAcentral. Lineage: Eukaryota; Metazoa; Chordata; Mammalia; Primates; Hominidae.
ACUGCAUGAUUCAAUUUAUAUCAGCAGGCCCUGACAUUGUAUAAGCUUCAGGCCCCACAAAACCUGGAUCUGCCCUGCCAGGAUCAGCAUCUAGAGGAAAACUACUACUUCCACAAUAGCACAACCAAUCUGAUCAUCCCUGCAUCAGUGAGCAUUCUCCAGAGAAACAGAGCCAACAGGAUAUGUGUAUAUAUGUGAAGAAAGACUUAUUUUAAGGAGUUGGCUCAUGCAAUUAUGGAGGUGCAAGUCCAAAAUCUGUAGGGCAGGCAGAUGGGCAGACUGGAGACCCAGAGAAGAGUUGCAGUUCAAGUCCAAAGUCGGUUGGAAGAAUUCCCUCUUGCUGGGUAACACUGGGGAAGCAGGAGUAGAUGGAAAGGGGAGGUGUCAGGCUUUGCUCUACCAAGGACUUCAACUGAUUGGAUGAGGCCCAGUAACAUUAUGGAGGGAAACCUGCUUUGCUCAGAGUUUACUGAUUUAAAUAUUAAUCUCAUCCACAAAAAAAUAAAUAACCUUCACAGAAACAUUUAGAAUAUUUGACCAAAUAUCUAAGUCCCAUGGCUCAGACAACUUAACACAUAAAAUUAUCCAUCACAAUUCCAUUAUCCCAAUACAGGUCGGCAGGGCCUUGGGCAGGUGGUAACCUCAGCUCUGGAGUCUACAGCAAUACUCUCACACUUAACAGAUGUAGUUCUGUGGGUCCAGGUCCCACUUCGCAAGAGAGAAUCUGAUGGGCUAAUUUCGACCAAGUCUCCUUUCCUAGUUCAAUCACGUGUAAGGGUUAGAGAAAGGGUUGGGCUCACAAGGGACUUAGG